AUACGGAGGAUCCGAGCGUUAUCCGGAUUUAUUGGGUUUAAAGGGUGCGCAGGCGGGAGAUUAAGUCGGCGGUUAAAUUUUGCAGCUCAACUGUAAAAGAGCCUUCGAUACUGGUUUCCUUGAGUGUGGAUGAAGUAGGCGGAAUUUGUGGUGUAGCGGUGAAAUGCUUAGAUAUCACGAGGAACUCCGAUUGCGCAGGCAGCUUACUAAACCACUACUGACGCUCAGGCACGAAGGCGUGGGGAUCAAACAGGAUUAGAUACCCUGGUAGUCCACGCAGUAAACGAUGAUUACUAGCUGUUUGCGAUACAAUGCAAGCGGCUGAGCGAAAGCGUUAAGUAAUCCACCUGGGGAGUACGUUCGCAAGAAUGAAACUCAAAUGAAUUGACGGGG
This 393-nucleotide ribosomal RNA is filed under the name uncultured bacterium. RNAcentral describes it as "partial 16S ribosomal RNA". It matches the Rfam family "Bacterial small subunit ribosomal RNA", at positions 523 to 918 of the family's 1533-position model. The record is from RNAcentral.